Non-coding RNA from Canis lupus familiaris (dog), 83 nucleotides. Lineage: Eukaryota; Metazoa; Chordata; Mammalia; Carnivora; Canidae. The record is from Rfam.
GCCUGGGUGGCUCAGUGGUUGAGUGUCUGCCUUCGGCUCAGGACAUGAUCCCAGAGUUCUGGGAUCAAGUCCCACAUCAGGCU